Molecule: ribosomal RNA, 253 nt
Filed under: uncultured bacterium
Lineage: Bacteria
Description: partial 16S ribosomal RNA
Rfam family: Bacterial small subunit ribosomal RNA
Source: RNAcentral
UACGGAGGGUGCGAGCGUUAAUCGGAAUUACUGGGCGUAAAGCGUGCGUAGGCGGUUAACUCAGUCAGAUGUGAAAGCCCCGGGCUUAACCUGGGAACUGCAUUUGAUACUGGUUAACUCGAGUUUAAUAGAGGGGAGUGGAAUUUCAGGUGUAGCGGUGAAAUGCGUAGAUAUCUGAAGGAACACCAGUGGCGAAGGCGACUCCCUGGAUUAAAACUGACGCUGAGGUACGAAAGCGUGGGUAGCAAACAGG